UCAGAAUUCUCCGAGAAACGACAAAGUAACGAUCCCAGAAGAUGAAUACAAAACACCUGAUGUGUUUGUUAGUGGCGGCCGCAGUUCUUCUGGCCAUUGCUCCGGCAGCAAACGCCCGAUACUAUGAUUACGGAUAUGACGGAAACUAUGGCUACCCCGGAAACUAUGGCAACUCCGGAAACUAUGGCUACCCCGGAUACAAUGACAACUAUUAUGGUGGAUGGCUAGGAAAACUUUUCGGAGGAUGGGGCGAUUAUGGAUAUGGCGAUUAUGGAUAUGACGAUUAUGGAUAUGGCAAAUAAACAUUGUAAUGAAGUUGUCCUUAAAGAGAAGCGUAUCUACCUAUACCAUAGUUUGCCAAACAUACAGAAAACCUUUCCAUGUGAUUGACGUUCAUAUAUUGUUGUAAAAAUCAAUGAAUAAACUAAAUCGGACAUCAA
Long non-coding RNA from Dreissena polymorpha, 440 nucleotides. RefSeq lists it as uncharacterized. The record is from RefSeq and is a predicted model, not a curated record. The transcript has 3 exons. NCBI's taxonomy places the organism in Eukaryota, Metazoa, Mollusca, Bivalvia, Myida, Dreissenidae.